CCUACGGGUGGCAGCAGUCGAGAAUCAUUCACAAUGGGGGAAACCCUGAUGGUGCGACGCCGCGUGGGGGAAUGAAGGUCUUCGGAUUGUAAACCCCUGUCAUGUGGGAGCAAAUUAAAAAGAUAGUACCACAAGAGGAAGAGACGGCUAACUCUGUGCCAGCAGCCGCGGUAAUACAGAGGUCUCAAGCGUUGUUCGGAAUCACUGGGCGUAAGGCGUGCGUAGGCUGUUUCGUGAGUCGUGUGUGAAAGGCGCGGGCUCAACCCGCGGACGGCACAUGAUACUGCGAGACUAGAGUAAUGGAGGGGGAAGCGGAAUUCUCGGUGUAGCAGUGAAAUGCGUAGAGAUCGAGAGGAACACUCGUGGCGAAGGCGGGUUCCUGGACAUUAACUGACGCUGAGGCACGAAGGCCAGGGGAGCGAAAGGGAUUAGAUACCCGUGUAGUC
This 446-nucleotide ribosomal RNA is filed under the name uncultured bacterium. RNAcentral's name for it is "partial 16S ribosomal RNA". It matches the Rfam family "Bacterial small subunit ribosomal RNA", at positions 338 to 795 of the family's 1533-position model. The record is from RNAcentral.